GGGGAAUAUUGCGCAAUGGGCGAAAGCCUGACGCAGCGACGCCGCGUGAGGGAUGAAGGCCUUCGGGUCGUAAACCUCUUUCAGCAGGGAAGAAGCGCAAGUGACGGUACCUGCAGAAGAAGCACCGGCUAACUACGUGCCAGCAGCCGCGGUAAUACAGGGGAUGCAAGCGUUAUCCGGAAUUAUUGGGCGUAAAGGGUCCUGAGGUGGCUAUCCAAGUCUAUUGUGAAAUAUCAGGGCUUAACCCUGAACAUGCGGUGGAAACUAGAAAGCUUGAGUACAGUAGGGGCGGAGGGAAUUUCCGGUGGAGCGGUGAAAUGCAUAGAUAUCGGGAAGAACACCAACGGCGAAAGCACUCCGCUGGGCUGAUACUGACACUGACAGACGAAAGCUAGGGUAGCGAA
This 404-nucleotide ribosomal RNA is filed under the name uncultured bacterium. Its description in RNAcentral is "bacterial SSU rRNA". It matches the Rfam family "Bacterial small subunit ribosomal RNA", at positions 356 to 772 of the family's 1533-position model. The record is from RNAcentral.